UCGGUUUUAGAAGGGCUCACGGCCUAUCAGCUUCGUUCGGUGAGGUAAUCGGCUUACCAAGGCGAACGACAGGUAGCCGGCCUGAGAGGGUGACCGGCCACACUGGGACUGAGACACGGCCCAGAACUCCUACGGGAGGCAGCAGUGGGGAAUAUUUGCACAAUGGGCGCAAGCCUGAUGCAGCGACGCCGCGUGAGGGAUGACGGCCUUCGGGUUUGUAAACCUCUGUUAGCAUCGAAGAAGCGAAAGUGACGGUAGGUGCAGAAAAAGCGCCGGCUAACUACGUGCCAGCAGCCGCGGUAAUACGUAGGGCGCGAGCGUUGUCCGGAAUUAUUGGGCGUAAAGAGCUUGUAGGCGGUUGGUCGCGUCUGCUGUGAAAGGCUGGGGCUUAACCCUGGUUUUGCAGUGGGUACGGGCUAACUAGAGUGCAGUAGGGGAGACUGGAAUUCCUGGUGUAGCGGUGGAAUGCGCAGAUAUCAGGAGGAACACCGAUGGCGAAGGCAGGUCUCUGGGCUGUAACUGACGCUGAGAAGCGGAAGCAUGGGGAGCGAACAGGAUUAGAUACCCUGGUAGUCCAUGCCGUAAACGUUGGGCACUAGGUGUGGGGGACAUUCCACGUUUUCCGCGCCGUAGCUAACGCAUUAAGUGCCCCGCCUGGGGAGUACGGCCGCAAGGCUAAAACUCAAAGAAAUUGACGGGGGCCCGCACAAGCGGCGGAGCAUGCGGAUUAAUUCGAUGCAACGCGAAGAACCUUACCAAGGCUUGACAUAUACUGGACUGCGUCAGAGAUGGCGUUUCCCUUCGGGGCUGGUAUACAGGUGGUGCAUGGUUGUCGUCAGCUCGUGUCGUGAGAUGUUGGGUUAAGUCCCGCAACGAGCGCAACCCUCGUUCUAUGUUGCCAGCACGUGAUGGUGGGGACUCAUAGGAGACUGCCGGGGUCAACUCGGAGGAAGGUGGGGAUGACGUCAAAUCAUCAUGCCCCUUGUGUCUUGGGCUUCACGCAUGCUACAAUGGCCGGUACAGAGGGUUGCGAUACUGUGAGGUGGAGCUAAUCCCUAAAAGCCGGUCUCAGUUCGGAUUGGGGUCUGCAAACUCGACCCCUUGAAGUUCGGAGUCGCUAGUAAUCGCAGAUCAGCAACGCUGCGGUGAAAUACGUUUCCCGGGCCUUGUACACACC
This 1177-nucleotide ribosomal RNA is filed under the name uncultured bacterium. RNAcentral describes it as "bacterial SSU rRNA". It matches the Rfam family "Bacterial small subunit ribosomal RNA", at positions 215 to 1391 of the family's 1533-position model. The record is from RNAcentral.